RNAcentral lists this ribosomal RNA (301 nucleotides) under uncultured bacterium. Its description in RNAcentral is "partial 16S ribosomal RNA". It matches the Rfam family "Bacterial small subunit ribosomal RNA", at positions 509 to 809 of the family's 1533-position model. The record is from RNAcentral.
CAGUAGCCGCGGGAAUACGUAGGUGGCAAGCGUUGUCCGGAAUUAUUGGGCGUAAAGGGCUCGCAGGCGGUUUCUUAAGUCUGAUGUGAAAGCCCCCGGCUCAACCGGGGAGGGUCAUUGGAAACUGGGAAACUUGAGUGCAGAAGAGGAGAGUGGAAUUCCACGUGUAGCGGCGAAAUGCGUAGAGAUGUGGAGGAGCACCAGUGGCGAAGGCGACUCUCUGGUCUGUAACUGACGCUGAGGAGCGAAAGCGUGGGGAGCGAACAGGAUUAGAUACCCCCGUAGUCCCUGUCUCUUAUAU